UAUCUUUCAGGGGUCAGCCAAGCCAGUGGGAAGCCUACGACAUUCCCCUGGGUCACUUAGUGAACUCCUACUCUUUCAUCAGGCCUCACUUGAACAUGACUUCCUCCAGAAGCCUUCCCAGACAUCUUUGAGCUAGAAAGUCAGAAGAGUAGAAUUGGAACCCAGCUCAGUCUGAUGCCACAUCCUUUGUUGUUUCCAUUAAAUCAGAGAAUUUCUUAGUGCUGAGAAACUAUUCUGGAACUUACAACAAAGCCUUCACUGUAUGAACAAUGCCUGAUCAUUCUUCCAGAGGAUGAGAAACCAAAGGGAUCAAAAAGGAGCUGUUCCAGCUGAGCCCUUUAGCUUAGCCAGCUCCCACCUGACCAGCUAUUAAUAGUCGACCAGAGAUGUAUGAAUCAGCAAGUUGAGAUCAGUCCAAAGGAAAGUUGGAUGGCCAUGAAACCAAUAACUUGGUAGUAGAGACAUCAAUGGGUCUAUAAGUCUGUGACUACGUAUGCCAAAUUUUUGUCAAUUUGCAUUGCAAUAAAGGAACACCUGAGGCUGGGUAAAUCAUAAAUAGGUGAUGUGGCUCAAGGUUCUCUAGGAUGUACAAGAAGCAUGGUACCACCAUCUGCUUCUGGUGAGGGCCUCAGGCUGCUUCCACUUACGGCAAAAGGUAAAGAGGAGCAAGCAUUGCAUGAUUGGAAGGAGUAAUGCACAGGAUCAAGAGGAAAAAUGGAGAAAAUAUUCCCUCCAGUCUUUAAUAAACAAACAAAGAAGAAAAAGAAAAUUCACUACCAAAUCAUACAUUUUCUUCCAACCGUAAAAUGAAAUAACAGUUUCUUCUAAUUCAGUUGUCAUAAUCAAGUCUUCAACUUCCAUAUACAACAUAGGAGAACAAGUUUGUUCGUGAGGCCACAGGGGAACUUGAUGUUAACAGAAAAAAGAUGUGAACAAAGCCCAAGGCAAAUGUACAAAAUAAAGGUGGAAACUACCUACUAAGAACUAGAACAUGGUUGGGAUUCAAUGAGAACGAACACAAAAUUCACCCAUUCAUA
This 1037-nucleotide long non-coding RNA is filed under the name Homo sapiens (human). Its description in RNAcentral is "HSALNT0315513". The record is from RNAcentral. Lineage: Eukaryota; Metazoa; Chordata; Mammalia; Primates; Hominidae.